This is a long non-coding RNA of Pipra filicauda (Wire-tailed manakin), 638 nucleotides long. RefSeq lists it as uncharacterized. The transcript has 3 exons. The record is from RefSeq and is a predicted model, not a curated record. Lineage: Eukaryota; Metazoa; Chordata; Aves; Passeriformes; Pipridae.
ACUUCAGUGCAAAGUUGUGAUUAUGUUGCAGUGUAAUGAAGCAUGUUCCAGUUUGCUGACAGCAUUAUGGUCUCUGUGAGAAUAUCCACCACAUCCUGCUUGUAUGAACUAUCAGGAAGAUGAUUUUGUCAGCGCUUCACAGAGUAGUGUAUAAAGCCCUCUCUACUGAGUAAGAUCUUGGGAGCACGUGGCAAAUAUGACUUUAUGAAGACCCUCGGAGUGCAGAAGACCCAGAACUGCUUGCGGUAUCAGAGCUUCUGUUCAUGAUGCACAGCUAUAGCAAAAAAAUUACAGACUCAUCUCUGUUUAAGAGGAAGUACCAGAUAAAUCUAUGCAUGUUUUGACAUCAAGGGGAUUAAAAUGGUGCUUAUGCAUGCUCUCCUAAUUACUGCUUUACUUCUCUGAAAAGUCACAACAAAAUAAUUUAUGCUCUCAAAAAGGUACAAAAGAGAUAAAAUGCCUUUAAAGUAGAGGUAAUAGUUACAGUGAUGGCAAAAGUAUUCUAGCCCUUAGCAAAUGUGUUUAUUGAUGUUUUUAAGAGAAAAGGAUUUUUUUCACCUGGUGUUUGUUUUCCAUGUUGUACAUUUGACCAUGUGUAUAGAGUUUGGCUGUACAUUAAUAAAAGACAUGUAAUCAAA